UCGAGUGACUCAGGCAAAACGAGUCACGGCGAACAGCUCAGUAACACGUGGCUAAUCUGCCCUUAGGACGAGAAUAACCCCGGGAAACUGGGGCUAACUCUCGAUAGGUGAAGAACUCUGGAAUGAGUCUUCACUCAAAAAGCUUCACGUUAUCCUCGUGAAGUCGCCUAAGGAUGAGGCCGCGGCCGAUCAGGUUGUUGGCGAGGUAACGGCUCACCAAGCCUUUUACCGGUGCGGGCCGUGAGAGCGGGAGCCCGGAGAUGGGUACUGAGACAAGGACCCAGGCCCUACGGGGCGCAGCAGUCGCGAAACCUUUGCAAUACACGAAAGUGUGACAGGGCUAUCCCGAGUGCCAUCCGCUGAGGAAGGCUUUUACCCAGUCUAGAUAGCUGGGGGAAUAAGGAGAGGGCAAGUCUGGUGUCAGCCGCCGCGGUAAUACCAGCUCUCCGAGUGGUGUGGAUGUUUAUUGGGCCUAAAGCAUCCGUAGCUGGCUAGGUCAGUCCCUUGUCAAAUCCACCGAAUUAAUCGUUGGAUCGCGGGGGAUACUGCUUGGCUAGGGGACGAGAGAGGCAGACGGUAUUUUCGGGGUAGGGGUGAAAUCCUAUAAUCCCGGGAAGACCACCAGUGGCGAAGGCUGUCUGCUAGAACGCGCCCGACGGUGAGGGAUGAAAGCUGGGGGAGCGAACCGGAUUAGAUACCCGGGUAGUCCCAGCUGUAAACGAUGCAGACUAGGUGUUUGGACGGCCACGUGCCGUUCUAGUGCCGCAGGGAAGCUGUUAAGUCUGCCGCCUGGGGAGUACGAUCGCAAGAUU
This 812-nucleotide ribosomal RNA is filed under the name uncultured archaeon 71C. RNAcentral describes it as "bacterial SSU rRNA". It matches the Rfam family "Archaeal small subunit ribosomal RNA", at positions 58 to 850 of the family's 1478-position model. The record is from RNAcentral.